RNAcentral lists this small RNA (377 nucleotides) under Pan troglodytes (chimpanzee). Its description in RNAcentral is "unitary pseudogene". The record is from RNAcentral. Lineage: Eukaryota; Metazoa; Chordata; Mammalia; Primates; Hominidae.
AUGGCUAGGUCCAGCACCAAAAAGUAUAAGUACUCCAAAAGACAUCAAACCCCAACCUCCAGAAAGAAAGCAAAGAAAGCAUAUUCCAGCAUUGAUUUUGGCCACGGAAAUUACUCAUUCUUUGUAAACAAGGUCCUAAAGGAAGUGGUGCCCUGUAGAGGCAUAUCGUCUCGCACUUUAGACCUCAUGAAUGCUCUGAUUAACUUCUUAUUUCAACACAUUGUCAUAAAAGCUUACAGGCUGAUGUAUUCUAGAAAUCGCUGUACUCUCCCCCUGAAGAUAUCCUGAAGGCAGUGUAUUUGCUGUUGCCUCAGAAAACAGCUAACUAUGCAGCGGCUUUUGGAAGUGACGUGGUCCACAGAUAUGUCCACUCCUAA